AUUUCCCUCUCCUGCACUGGCUGAACUCGGCCAGUGCUGCAGGGGGAAACUGACAAGUGUUUUUCCUUGGCUAUAAGGGGUGGGGGGAGUCCCACCCCACCCCUUAAAGCCAAGGAAAAAUGGU
Heteronotia binoei (common prickly gecko) is the source of this 124-nucleotide non-coding RNA. RefSeq annotates it as small Cajal body-specific RNA 11. Lineage: Eukaryota; Metazoa; Chordata; Lepidosauria; Squamata; Gekkonidae. The record is from RefSeq and is a predicted model, not a curated record. The transcript has a single exon.